RNAcentral lists this ribosomal RNA (232 nucleotides) under uncultured bacterium. Its description in RNAcentral is "partial 16S ribosomal RNA". It matches the Rfam family "Bacterial small subunit ribosomal RNA", at positions 524 to 752 of the family's 1533-position model. The record is from RNAcentral.
UACGUAGGGUGCAAGCGUUAAUCGGAAUUACUGGGCGUAAAGCGUGCGCAGGCGGUUUUGUAAGUCUGUCGUGAAAUCCCCGGGCUCAACCUGGGAAUUGCGAUGGAGACUGCAAGGCUAGAAUCUGGCAGAGGGGGGGUAGAAUUCCACGUGUGAGCAGUGAAAUGCGUAGAGAUGUGGAGGAACACCGAUGGCGAAGGCAGCCCCCUGGGUCAAGAUUGACGCUCCAUGC